Non-coding RNA from Anas platyrhynchos (mallard), 1751 nucleotides. NCBI's taxonomy places the organism in Eukaryota, Metazoa, Chordata, Aves, Anseriformes, Anatidae. The record is from RefSeq and is a predicted model, not a curated record.
CAUCUCUUUAGCCCCAAAUGCUGAAGCUCAAGGCAACACAAGUAGCAGUGAAGGGCUGCUGUGUGAACCCACAGUGGUGGGAUGAGCACUCACUGCAUGCGUUUCAGCAGAGAGAAAUGGGCAGGUGUUUGAUUAAGCACAUUUCAUCUGUGUGGUUAAUCAGGUAAGUGGUUACUGUGGCUACAGUCAGAAUAAUGACUGUCAUUUGCUCCAGCCCAUUAGACAGCAACUUGAUUCCUAGUGGUUGGUUGUAAACAUGAAAACCUUGCCAGUUCGCCAAAGCUCAGCUUCCUGAAGAUCAGGGGCAGGGUGAAGUGGGGGCCACGGGGAAGGGAGUGUCGGUGGCAGUCAGCCACGUGGCAGCAUGCCCAUCGCUGCACCUGCAGCAGGCGCCCAGGGCACAAGAAACUACACCUGGAGGUACUACUCCCACCUCAUAUCCUGCCCCUCUCCAUGCUGGCAGGAGGCACUCCAGCUUCACGGAGAAGCUUGGUUAGGAGGGGAUGAGGCAGCUUUUGAUGCAGGGAUAUAAACACAGAGAGAGAGGGCGAAGAAAUUAAGGCUAGUUGGAAGGCAGGUGCAGAUAAUGGUGGUGGAAGUGUUUGGGAGGUGCUGAAGAUGACCUCCAGGGAGAAGAGUUGGCACUGAGCAGAAGUGCAACAAGCAGGGCUUACAGACAUCGAAGGGUUUGUUGACCUUGUGACCUGCCCACAGCAUGUUGAAGACUGACCGAGGUACAAAUGGAAGCAUAGGCUGGGUUUGGUGUUUUGUUUGAAGGCCUUAUGCGGGUACAAGGACUCUGUGGCUUUGCAUCACAGAUACAUAUCAUUUUUCAGAAGUGCUGCUGCAUUGCAAAUAGGAGAAUCUCCUUAUGAGCCGAAUAAAAUAAGAUUCAGCAAACAAGGCUCUCUGGAUCAAGAAAGCCAUCCUCAAUGGUUGCCCAAAUGUUGAGCUGCUGUAGUGUCAUAUGCCACUGUCUGAUGCUGGUCAGUAGCAAUCAAGGUACAUCUUGCCUCACAGAAGAGGGAAAAUAUCCAUUGUCACUGCCUUUCUCUUGGUGCCUUAAGAACAUGAGCUAGGUAAAUUAAGUCCCAAAGUGAUGUCAGUUUCUUGUAAUGUUUUCUCAAGAUGGCUCUUAGCAUGUACCAUUGAUCUCUGUGUCUUUAUACCCUGCUGAAAUCAGAGGUAUAAUAUAUAUAAUAUAUAUAUAAUAUAUAAUACAUAUUAAUGGUCCUGUCAUUGUGACAGAUUGUUGUGACAGAACAGGUUAACAAAAUGAAUGGACGGGAUGUAGAAUUUAAACUAAUCUGCUUAAUUGGCUUUUAUGUCCAGAGUAGAGCUAUCACUAUAUGGGAUCUCUAAGACUUUACCAAGCUAUUUCAUGAAAAAACAUGAGGAGAACACUCUCACUGACAUAUUUAGGGUGUAUAUGCCUGAGAGGUCUCUCACUGAGCAAGCAAACAUGCCAUUUGAGAAAACUGUCUUCUUCCUGGCAAUGAAAAGAAGAAAGGGGAAGAGGACAGGGAAAGGGAAGGGGAAAGAGAAGAGGAAGAAAAGGGAAAGGGGGAAGAGGACAUUGAGGGGAAAGGGGAGGAUAGAAAAGGGAGAGGAGAGGAGAAGAUGUAAAAUAACUUGGUGUAACUAAUUACUGCUGACUAAUUCAGCAAGCUUGUGAUGUUGAACAACACCUUGGAGAAUUGUGGCAUGUGAAUUUAUUUAGAAUGAAUAAAUUCAUGUAACCUUCUCAAUGA